GCUGUGAUACCCUCAUUUCAGAGAAGGUCGCAGAGAGCUCAAGCUAUGAAGCUGAAAGCGAAUCUGAGCCCAGUGUUGCUCUACCAUCACUUCCCAAACCAACAUCAGUGAAACUGGGGACCGAUGGCUGCACUGAAGUGUCUGUCCACUGUUGGGAAACUGCUAAGGCACAACCCACCGCCCAAGGAAAGGCCCUCCUGCUGGGCCUGUUCAGCACCGACGUCCUGCUUCAGUCUAACCUGACAGGAGGGGUCAAUAAGGUCGAUCCAUCUGCAGAAAGACGCCAGCCUCUGGAUCCCAAGAAACUUAAAGCUUUACUUGAUGCAGUUGUUCAGAAACACCCAGGGGUGAAGAUUUCUGACAUCCGCACAUCCUUAAACAAAAGCAUCUGUGAGCUGAGACACCAGGAAAAGAAAAAGUCCAAGGAAAACUGAGGGACAUGCUAAGGAAGAGUGGUUUUCAGAAAU
This is a long non-coding RNA of Salarias fasciatus (jewelled blenny), 467 nucleotides long. RefSeq lists it as uncharacterized. The transcript has 3 exons. NCBI's taxonomy places the organism in Eukaryota, Metazoa, Chordata, Actinopteri, Blenniiformes, Blenniidae. The record is from RefSeq and is a predicted model, not a curated record.